ACGUAGGUGGCGGGCGUUGUUCGGAUUUACUGGGCGUAAAGGGCGCGCAGGCGGCUAUCCAAGUCAGGCGUGAAAGCCCCGGGCUUAACCUGGGAGGUGCGUCUGGGACUGGGUGGCUAGAGUUCGGGAGAGGAGAGUGGAAUUCCCAGUGUAGAGGUGAAAUUCGUAGAUAUUGGGAAGAACACCGGUGGCGAAGGCGGCUCUCUGGACCGAGACUGACGCUGAGGCGCGAAAGCGUGGGGAGCAAACAGGA
This 253-nucleotide ribosomal RNA is filed under the name uncultured prokaryote. RNAcentral's name for it is "partial 16S ribosomal RNA". It matches the Rfam family "Bacterial small subunit ribosomal RNA", at positions 525 to 777 of the family's 1533-position model. The record is from RNAcentral.